Molecule: transfer RNA, 72 nt
Filed under: Cyathus striatus
Lineage: Eukaryota; Fungi; Basidiomycota; Agaricomycetes; Agaricales; Nidulariaceae
Description: tRNA-Arg
Rfam family: tRNA
About the family: Transfer RNA (tRNA) molecules are approximately 80 nucleotides in length.
Source: RNAcentral
GUUCUCUUAGUUCAAUGGUUAGAACAACAUUUUUCUAAAUUGCAUAUCCCUGUUCGAGUCUGGGAGAGAACU